AAGUUAACAAUAUUCCCCCCGCUUUGGAACAUAGAAAUUGAAUCAUGUCUCAACCUGACAAGUUUUUAUUUGGGAAGUCGAGCUCUUGAAUUUCCAUCGUUAGAAGGCAUUAGAAUAGCUGACUGUCCAAAAAUGACUACAUUUUCAAGAGACAAGCAGGAAGGGACAACUGGCGAUGGAAAUGAAAAAAGGCUUGGUCAGGGGGACGUCUAUAUUACUGCAACCUUUUUCAGCCAUAAGCAGAUUGUCUCUCCAAAAUUGGAGAGGUUGGAUUUGUCCUCAAUUAACAUUCAAAGGAUAUGGCACGAGCAUCAACUCCCAUCCUUGUUAUAUAUUGAGAAAUUAGAAUUCUUGAGCGUGAAGAGCUGUCACAAUUUGAAAUAUCUGUUUCCAUCUUUCAUGGCAAAAGAUUUUGUGCAACUCAAAAGUCUUUAUAUUUCGGACUGUAAGAUCAUGGAAGAAGUAAUCUUCAUUGAAGGAUUGACAGAAGAAGAAAGGAUGAGCCAGAUGUUAUUCCCUAAACUAGAUUUCCUGUGGCUGAAAGACCUUCCCGAACUCACAAGAUUCUGCUUUGAACCUUACUUUAAGUUCCCAUGCUUGAGAAUUUUAAGCCUAACAAAUUGUCCUUUACUGAAAACAUUCAUCUUGAAAUCUGUAACUGGAGAUGAACCUCAAAUUCAUCAAAAUACAGAAGGAAGUAACUUGGAGGUUGAUAAUUCCGCUCUCUUCAAUGAAAAGGUGGUUUUCCCUUGUUUAGAGGGGUUGACAGUCACAGGUAUGAGGGACUGUAGAAAGAUAUGGCAGGACCAACUCAACAUGGAUUCAUUUAGCAAACUAAAGAACAUACUGGUUAAAGACUGUGAAACACUCUUAAAUAUUUUUCCCUUUAGCAUGAUGGAAAAACUUGAGGAACUAGACAUGUUGGAGAUUGUGAAUUGUAAUUCGCUAGAAGAAAUAAUUGAACCACGAGGACUCAUUGCUAAUGAAUCAAAUGCAGUAACAGCUACUGAAUCUAUUGUGGUAGAAGCAGUGACUAAAUUUGUAUUUCCCAGAGUAACAUACCUACGACUUGAUGAAUUGCCCAAAUUGAAAAGUUUCUACUCUAGGAUGCAUGCUACAGAAUGGCCAUCAUUGAAAAGAAUGAAGCUGGUUUCUUGCCACAAAGUAGAGUUAUUUGCUUCAGAAUGUCUUGGCUUUGGAGAAACUCAAGCAGAGAGCCAGCUGGGUGAAAUCUCAAAUAAACAACCCCUGUUUUGGGUCAAUGAGGACACUUUCCCUGUCCUAGAAGAAUUGACAUGGAAGCGGAAAGAUAAGAUGAAAGGGAUAUGGCAUGGACAACUCUCAUUGCAGUGUUUCAGAAAACUAAAAGUUCUUAACCUCGAAUGCUUUCCUGACACAUCAGCAACUGCUCUUCCAUAUUGGUUCCUUCGGCCAUUACCAUAUCUUGAGAAGAUUGUCAUAAAUGAAGCUUCCUUCUGUCAAAUUUUCCAGUUUGAAGGGAUCAGCGAUGAGGAAAGACAUACAUCAGCUCUCACUCAGAUAAAGGAAUUGAGGUUGUCUAAACUUCCAGAGUUGACACAUCUCUGGAAAGAAGAAUUCAAUCCUAGAGCAACUUUAUGUAAAAUAAGAAUUCUUGAAGUGCUGGAAUGUGGACAAUUAAAGACUUUAGUGCCAUCAUCGGUGUCUUUUGAAAAUUUAACAACUCUGGAAGUUUCAAGAUGUCAUGGAUUCAUCAAUUUAAUAGCGUGCUCAACAGCUAAGAGCCUGAUGCUACUAGAAAGAAUGAGCAUAACUGAUUGCAAGAUGAUAGAGGAAAUCAUAGCUUGUGAGGGUGAAGAAAUAAAAGGUGGCAUUAUGUUCACCAAACUCAAGUAUCUGCGGCUAAGUUGUCUUCCAAGUCUAGCAAGCUUUUGCUUAGGGGAUCACAUCUUUGAAUUCCCAGCCUUGAGAAGGGUGAUUUUGAGAGAGUGCCCAAAAAUGAAGAAUUUCUGUGAAGGAGUUUUAAGCACACCAAAGCUGCAACAAGUGCAACUGACAGAAGAUGAAGUUGAAGUAAGAGUGCGGUGGGAAGGCGACCUUAAAACUACUGUAAAAGAGCUGUUCAAAGAAAUGAAUGUCCAAAAUUCUGAAGUGACUGAGGUGACCCUUCAGUUGGACAAGCCAGAAUAAGGCAAAUAUGUUUUGGUGCUUGUGAGAUAUCUCAUUUUCCUUUCAAUUCAAAUCCGAUAGAAAGUAAGUACCUGUUCUACUCUCAUAAUUCUUCAUUUGUCCACUUUAUUUCCCUUCAUCAAGGUGCAAUUUCUUUAAAGAGUGACGUGGGAGAUGCCUUUUGAUCGUUGAAUGUUGAAUUGUUCUACUGAAGUUCGAGACUGCCACUUUCCUUUGAGCCCAAAAGGUUAUUCCACUUUCUACGAAUGCUCUGUUUGAACUGUUGCAUUUUAUAUUGUAACUUCAAUUCUCAGCUUGAAUUUCAGGUGCAUCAUGCAUGGCACUGCAAAUUACAACAUGUAUUCUCUUACUUGCAAAGUCAAUCAGCUUAAGACUGCCGUGUUUCAAUAUUACCAAAAUUUGUUCUUCAAGGUUGAUGGAUUUUCCAAUAUGUUAUGGAUAUCACUAAGUCUCUCAUCCUUCAUCCAUUUCAACAACAUUAUGCGACAGAAUAGUAUAUUCUUUUGCUGGUAUGAAGCAAAAAUGAGAUCAAACUUGGCUCCUUGCCUGCGAGGCGCAGUGAUAAAGAUUGUUCUCCUCUGGUUGAGAAAAUCACUAAGAAAAUCAACAAUUGGACGUCCAAGCACCUAUCUUAUGCUGGGAGGCUUUAACUUGUCCAAUCACCUCUCUUUGGUAUGCAAAACCUCUAGUGUCGUCAAUUCACUGUUCCCCAAAAAGUGAUAAAAUAAGUGACUCAAUUCUGCUUUGCUUUCUUUUGGAAGGGGAUGAAAAGUUCUACGAUUAUUAGUUGGGAUUUCAUUUGUCAAGGGGACAUGAUUUGAAAACUCUUAAGGAGUGGAAUCAAGCGUGUAUCCUGAAGAACAUCUGGAUUCUCCUUACAAAAUAUGGUUCCUUAUGGGCUGCAUGUGUUUCUACUUUGGUGCUUGGGGGUGGGAGAUUCUUUAUAAAUCUAGUCUUCCAAGAAAUAAAGAGAUAUUUUGUUAAUUCUCUUUACUUGUACUGUUUCUCUCAGUAAUGUUGUUUAGCAAAAUUUUUCAUCUGAUAGCACUGCUUCAUAUA
This is a non-coding RNA of Durio zibethinus, 3228 nucleotides long. NCBI's taxonomy places the organism in Eukaryota, Viridiplantae, Streptophyta, Magnoliopsida, Malvales, Malvaceae. The record is from RefSeq and is a predicted model, not a curated record.